This is a long non-coding RNA of Delphinapterus leucas (beluga whale), 1139 nucleotides long. RefSeq lists it as uncharacterized. The record is from RefSeq and is a predicted model, not a curated record. NCBI's taxonomy places the organism in Eukaryota, Metazoa, Chordata, Mammalia, Artiodactyla, Monodontidae.
AUCCUGGUGGGAGACGGACCUGUGGAAAGCUGGCCCCACUACUGGAAGAAACAAGGGACCAGACACUGUAAAGGGACAGACCUGUUGGGAUGGCUGCCUCCCAGUCAUGCUCCAUUCCCUUAAAGAUGAUGAAAUAAAACUCAAGGAGUUUCAGUGCCCAAGAUUGCAAACCAGGAAGGUGCAGAAACAGAAUUUGAAUCCAAGAUCAACUCACUCUGAAGUCCACAAUCAUUUUAUUCUACUCUGCACAAUACUAACUAUAUUAUACCCCACAUCACACUAUACUAUAGCAUACUAUACUAUGCAGCCUCCUUACUUUCUAGGGGGUGAAUUUGCAAUUCUGGAAAAUAUACAUACUAUAAAGUUUCAUAAGUGUUAUUAAAUAACUAUUAUUGAGUUUAAAGACAGGUAUAUUUGUUAAGUUGCUGGUAAUGACUAUUCUUAUUUUUAAUUUCCAAAUGAUAACCCAAAAUAAUUUUGCAUGGGAAAGAGCUUUUUUGCCCCUCAGAUUUUAAACUUUCCUACAGGGAAUAGAUUGAAAGGAGGUAGGUAGUUCCCUAACUCAAGAUCUAAGGCAGGGACAAAUUUCCUAUUUAGUAAUUCAGGAACUCAUAUACAUUUCCUCCUGUUCAAGGGACAGAGAGGCCAGAGCCCUUUCAGCUCUUGUCUGAAGAUGAGCACGCACAGAUGAGUAUGGACAUGGGGAGGUCAUGAGGCAGUAGGAUACCAAGACAAAAAUACAGGGCUCCAUUCUCGAGUCUGUGGCUCAUGAGCUGGGGAGCCUUGGGCAAAUGAAUCACUUACGCUCUUGGGAUCUCAGUUUUCUCAUUUUUAAAAAGAGUGUGUUGGACUAGAUAUCUUAUAUAAGGUCUCCUUUAGGGUAAAAAUAAUUUAAUUUUAUACUUUAAAAAAUGGGGACUGUGUAAGUUAUACUGUUAUAGUUUAAAAAAAACCCACAGCUUACAAAAACACUAUAUACACUAGCUAUCUAAAGGAAAUGCAACACAUUAAAAAAAAUCAAAUCUAUAGAUCUGGGUGAUAGAAUUUUCUUCUGAAUGUUUUUCUGCCUUUUGCAACUUCUGUACAAUGAAUAUGAAUUAUUUUUGUAAUCUGAAAUAAAUAUAUUUUGGUUUUUGGCA